CCUGACUCAAGCGGUGAUUUUUCCAGCCUCACAGCUGGGACUAGAACUCAGCCCAGUGGAAGAGGAGCAAAACGAGGCCUGAGGCCAAGAGGAGGCCAGAGCUACCUGUGCCUCAGUUUCACCACCCGAAACACGCAGUGUACAAGUACAGCCGUGGGGUGCUGAGCGAAACUAGAUAGGCCUGCCCUGCAGAGCUUACAGCCAGGACUGGGGCUAACAAUAAUGAAAGCAUCAAAGCAUCCGUGUUUGAUUGCACAAUGCAGCAGAUCAAAAACGGCCCGCUGCUGACGGUUUCAUAUGGUUCAGUCUAAUAAAAUUGCAGCUGUGA
Felis catus (domestic cat) is the source of this 328-nucleotide long non-coding RNA. RefSeq lists it as uncharacterized. The record is from RefSeq and is a predicted model, not a curated record. The transcript is spliced from 2 exons. NCBI's taxonomy places the organism in Eukaryota, Metazoa, Chordata, Mammalia, Carnivora, Felidae.